This 774-nucleotide ribosomal RNA is filed under the name Henningsomyces candidus. Its description in RNAcentral is "partial small subunit ribosomal RNA". The stretch from base 456 to 774 matches the Rfam family "Bacterial small subunit ribosomal RNA", at positions 1 to 914 of the family's 1533-position model. Lineage: Eukaryota; Fungi; Basidiomycota; Agaricomycetes; Agaricales; Schizophyllaceae. The record is from RNAcentral.
AUUACAUGUUGUAAAUUUUCGAUAAAAUAUGGGUAGAAUUAUGAUAUCACCAUAUAAUAAGUGUUGUCCAAGGUACUGGUGCCAAAANACUCGGUAAGGCCANAAACGCAAACGUUAGUCGCAAUGACCAGGCGUAAAGGGUUCGUANGCACCUUAAAAAAUUUAUUUUUGUUUAGCUCUUUAAAUUAUUAUUUNAAAAUUUAAUUUUUAUUUUUUUAUGAUAAGUUAUUAUUUAUAUAUUUAUAAAAUAAUAUAUAAAAAAAUAAUUUAUUUGACUAUUUAAUAAUCUAAUGGAUAACAUAAAAUUUAUUAAUUUAGUUAUAAAAAUAAAAAAAAAAAUUUUUUAAAUUGACUCUUGUAAAAUUUUUAUUUUNGAGUUCAUUAAUAUUAAUAGUACUAAUUUAAUGUUUAAUUAAAUAUUAGAAUAGAAAUAUUCNAUWWAAAAAUAUAUAAUUAAAAAUAAUAAUUUAAUAAUAAAAAUANAUUGUAUAUAAGCUAGAAUCAGAUGGAGGAUAUGCUAAAUCAUGCUNACAGUAGGGUUGAAAUACCAAGAUAGUAGGUGGAUAUANUCAGUGGUGAAAGCUUUUUAUNUAUUAAUGAUUGACGCUGAGGAACGAAGGUGUGAAUAGGAAACAGGAUUAGAGACCCAAUUACCCACACUGUCAACGAUGAAUGGUAGAUUAUUAAUUUUUAUAAAAAUUAAUAUCGAUGCUAACGCGAUAACCAUUCCGCCUUGAGAGUACGGUCGCAAGACUGAAANNAAAAAAAUUAGUC